This 206-nucleotide ribosomal RNA is filed under the name uncultured bacterium. Its description in RNAcentral is "partial 16S ribosomal RNA". It matches the Rfam family "Bacterial small subunit ribosomal RNA", at positions 568 to 774 of the family's 1533-position model. The record is from RNAcentral.
UGCGUAGGCGGCCGUGCAAGUCUGGCGUGAAAGCCCCGGGCUCAGCCCGGGAAGUGCGCUCGAAACUGCGCGGCUCGAGUGCCGGAGGGGAGAGUGGAAUUCCUGGUGUAGCGGUGAAAUGCGUAGAUAUCAGGAGGAAUACCGGUGGCGAAAGCGACUCUCUGGACGGCAACUGACGCUGAGGCACGAAAGCGUGGGAGCAAACA